UUACAACACGUCUUAUAUAAGACUAUCUUACGAUGAGACGGCUUUAAUAGAAUUUAAUGGGUCAAAGCUAAAAAUAAAACUCAUUUUACCUCAAAACUAACCGACAUACACCUUCCCUCACAUUGAAAACCCACGGCACCCCUCCCUUCCCUCUCUUUCUCUCAUCUCUUCUCUCUCUCGCUUCCCUCUCCCUCACGGCGCAGAAGCCCAGUACCACCAGUCACACCUUCGCUCCUUCAUAACAAGCAGCAGUCGGCUGCUUCGUGAGCCACUAGCAGGAGCAGUAGCCGCACGUGGUGGUUCCUCCACCAUCCAACGUGGUUCCUUGGUCUCUACCACCACAUCUACAACUUGUUCUUCACCCCUUUAAUAGUUUCACCUUUUUACUUUCAUUGAAUCUUUUGUGGGUAAGAGUUUAGUUGAUGAAUUGAAGUUCAAGAUUGCAAGGUCCUUCAAUGGUGGUUGAGGAGAUGAUAUCAUCGAAGAACCCUUCUAGUUGAUAGCUGGAUUCGUUACCUUGAAGCGACAUCGUCGUCUGAUUACAGAUCGGAACCGGUCGGGAACGAUGGGUUAGCGGUGUUGAAUAGCAUUCCAAGGAUGUAUAUUGAGUUGAGCACGUAGGAAUUUGUAGAUUUGUAUUAGGAUUUUGGAUAAAUGUAUAUUUGUUUUGGCUGUGCUGGUUAUAUCGGACUUGUAGAGAAUUGUAUGAUUAUCUUGUGUAUUAGUUAGAUAUUGGUUUUGGGAUUUAGCUGAGUUAGUCACGUUGAAGAGCUUGUGACCCCUUUGCUUGA
Molecule: long non-coding RNA, 791 nt
Organism: Amaranthus tricolor (Joseph's coat)
Lineage: Eukaryota; Viridiplantae; Streptophyta; Magnoliopsida; Caryophyllales; Amaranthaceae
Exons: 4
Source: RefSeq, a predicted model, not a curated record